GAUGAACGCUGGCGGCGUGCCUAAUACAUGCAAGUCGAGCGAACGGACGAGAAGCUUGCUUCUCUGAUGUUAGCGGCGGACGGGUGAGUAACACGUGGAUAACCUACCUAUAAGACUGGGAUAACUUCGGGAAACCGUAGCUAAUACCGGAUAAUAUUUUGAACCGCAUGGUUCAAAAGUGAAAGACGGUCUUGCUGUCACUUAUAGAUGGAUCCGCGCUGCAUUAGCUAGUUGGUAAGGUAACGGCUUACCAAGGCAACGAUGCAUAGCCGACCUGAGAGGGUGAUCGGCCACACUGGAACUGGGACACGGUCCAGACUCCUACGGGAGGCAGCAGUAGGGAAUCUUCCGCAAUGGGCGAAAGCAUGACGGAGCAACGCCGCGUGAGUGAUGAAGGUCUUCGGAUCGUAAAACUCUGUUAUUAGGGAAGAACAUAUGUGUAAGUAACUGUGCACAUCUUGACGGUACCUAAUCAGAAAGCCACGGCUAACUACGUG
This 497-nucleotide ribosomal RNA is filed under the name uncultured bacterium. RNAcentral's name for it is "partial 16S ribosomal RNA". It matches the Rfam family "Bacterial small subunit ribosomal RNA", at positions 28 to 507 of the family's 1533-position model. The record is from RNAcentral.